RNAcentral lists this long non-coding RNA (3110 nucleotides) under Salmo salar (Atlantic salmon). RNAcentral describes it as "lncRNA (ENSSSAG00000116354.1)". The record is from RNAcentral. Lineage: Eukaryota; Metazoa; Chordata; Actinopteri; Salmoniformes; Salmonidae.
GAAGUACUGGAAGAACAGAGCCGGUUCCCUCUGCAGCAGAAGUUGUGCCCAGCUGCAGUGAUGCACCUCCUCUACCAACAUAAAAAAAAGUCAGGGCAGUUAAUCCCAUGUAUCCCGGUGGGCCUACAGUGAGAGUGGAGGAGACAAGAUGGCCAUGACUGUCACAGCAAGAAGAGCUCAUGACAUCUGGCUGUGAGCUGGAACCUGUCACCUUGAUCCGCCACAGACUCUGGACUGCCACAAAAUGCACAAAAGAACUGCUCGUACACUAAAUGAAUUUGGCAUUUUGAAAAACAGUCCCGAUCUGAUGGUAGACACCAUAUUUGCAGUGCCAGCCUUUCAUGCCUAUGCUCAUGAUGCUGACUACCAGGCCACUGAUGGUACCAGGUAUGUGACUGGUAGUGGGCUUGCUGGCUGAGAACAGAUGGAGAGAUUAUGGUCCUACCUUUGAAAAUGUGGGUAGAUCACAAAAGAGAUGACACCGUCUCAUGGUGUUGACACCCUCACUGAUGCCCUCCUCUACUACGCAGCCAGGGUCAGCGAGAAGCAAGCACCGACAAUAGAACUCUGUCGGCAGAAGGUCCUGAAGGAGGAAACCAAGGCAAAAGAGGAGUUAAUGGUGCUGCUAAACAGCAUUCCAGGUUAGAUUCCAUGUGUUUUACUCAUAAUUUUUGUUUAUAUGUAAUGAUUAUUUUCAAGAGAGCUUGAUAAUGUGAAAGAAUCCUUUUCAUAGCAUCACUUUCAUAUACUUUACAUUAAGACAAAUCCUUCUACGUUGAGUAUUAGAAAGCAGUUUCCAUAACCUGAUAAUGACUUGAUAUAUGAGUGCAUUCACAACAAGCCACCUGCAGACAACUUACAAAAUGCAACAUUGCAUUUGAAGGUUAGUUUUUCUGAUGAAAAUAGUUAUUUGAUGCAUGGCCUACAAUUUCUAACUGGGAAAUCCCUUUUCCAAAAUUGUAAAAUCCCUUUUCCAAAAUUGAUUUAGGUACAUUUUUGUGAAGGGGUAUGAGGGUUGUGAUAUGGGUCAUUUAAUAGUAAAAUCAUUUAAGGGAUCAAUACAGUUCUAAAUUGCUUCCCCAGUAUCUGCAUGAACCAUCAGGCCAAGUGUUUUUGGUUGACCCUGCUGGACAGAAAGAGAAGGAGGAAUCGGAACACACUGCAUUCAAAUUCAGGUCUUAGUUAUUCCAUUGUGUUGGAUCUAAUACAUAUUAGCAUUUUACAUUCAUAAGUGUAAUACUUUUUUAUGACAUACUGUGAAAAACUCUCUUGGCUGCUGGCUCUGUCACUUUCAGACAUGCAGAGCAGACUUGAACCACAGGGGUUCUCUGUAAAGAGAGAGUAAUCCAAAAGGCACAGACACACCCCUUGACUUUCAAUUGGCACCGUUGACCUGUAUGUAUUCUCUCCUGAUUGGCUCUGUGGUGCAAAGUCUGGCAGUCUGACUAAAGUGCCAGAGGUAUGAGGAGAGACAUCCUCCUUUGUAUUUAUGGGAACAAAUAUUUCCUAACACUUUGGAUCCUAUUCUUGGACAGUUAGAAGACACAAUGCAUCAAUGCAAAACGUUUUUUUAUCACUAAUUACUGUCCAUGAGUAACCUCAACCUUGUGGGUCUAUAGGUGUUUGGGCCAAUAAAGUGCCAACUCAAUUCUACCACUGACUAGUCUCUCAUGCCCCUAUGAACGGGGACACAAGGCAAUAGUUUUAAUUUAAACCAGCCCUUUUUACUGGAGUAAAUUAACCCCUAAUUGGGGCUAUUUUCUUGACACAUAGUAGCAGUUUACAAGAUAAGAAGUCAAGAAGAUCAAAAAGUAGAUUGUUGUAAGGGUGUAUUACGUCCUGUGCUGGCCCCAUUGUCAUAUCCAUUCUGGAUUCUGAGUGGUAAAAUCAUAGCUGAAAAAUGCCUCUAUGUAUGUGUAUACAUUUUCCCCCAAGACAGAACUGCCAAAGGGGGUGGAGUUGCAAUCUACUACAGAGACAGCCUGCAGAGUUCUGUCAUGCUAUCCAGGUCUGUGCCCAAACAGUUCGAGCUUCUACUUUUGAAAAUCCACCUUUCCAGAAAUAAGUCUCUUACUGUUGCCGCUUGUUACAGACCCCCCUCAGCCCCCAGCUGCGCCCCGGACACCAUAUGUGAAUUAAUUGCCCCCCAUUUAUCUUCAGAGUUUGUACUGUUAGGUGACCUAAACUGGGAUAUGCUUAACACCCUGGCCGUCCUACAAUCUAAACUAGAUGCCCUCAAUCUCACCCAAAUUAUCAUGGAACCUACCAGGUACAACCCCAAAUCCGUAAACUCGGGCACCCUCAUAGAUAUCAUCCUGACCAACCUGUCCUCUAAAUACACCUCAGCUGUCUUCAACCAGGAUCUCAGCGAUCACUGCCUCAUUGCCUGCGUCCGUAAUGGGUCCGCGGUCAAACGACCACCCCUCAUCGCUGUCAAACGCUCCCUAAAACAUUUCAGCGAACAGGCCUUUCUAAUCAACCUGGCCCGGGUAUCCUGGAAGGAUAUUGACCUCAUCCCGUCAGUAGAGGAUGCCUGGUUAUUCUUUAAAAGUGCUUUCCUCACCAUCUUAAAUAUCAAAUCAAAUUUUCUUUGUCACAUACACAUGGUUAGCAGAUGUUAAUGCGAGUGUAGCAAAAUGCUUGUGCUUCUAGUUCCGACCAUGCAGUAAUAUCUAACAAGUAAUCUAACCUAACAAUUUCACAACAACUAACGUAUACCCUCAAGUGAGGGUAUACGCGUCACUUGAGUGGGUUGAGUCACUGACGUGGUCUUCCUGUCUGGGUUGGCGCCCCCCCUUGGGUUGUGCCAUGGCGGAGAUCGUUGUGGGCUAUACUCGGCCUUGUCUUAGGAUGGUAAGUUGGUGGUUGGAGACAUCCCUCUAGUGAUGUGGGGGCUGUGCUUUGGCAAAGUGGGUGGGGUUAUAUCCUGCCUGUUUGGCCCUGUCCGGGGGUAUCAUCGGAAGGUUGCCACAGUGUCUUCUGAUCCCUCCUGUCUCAGCCUCCAGUAUUUAUGCUGCAGUAGUUUAUGUGUCGGGGGGCUAGGGUCAGUCUGUUACAUCUGGAGUAUUUCUCUUGUCUUAUCCGGUGUCCUGUGUGAAUUUAAAUAUGCU